UACGUAGGGUGCAAGCGUUGUCCGGAAUUAUUGGGCGUAAAGAGCUCGUAGGCGGUCUGUCGCGUCGGAUGUGAAAAUCCAGGGCUCAACCCUGGACCUGCAUUCGAUACGGGCAGACUAGAGUUCGGUAGGGGAGACUGGAAUUCCUGGUGUAGCGGUGAAAUGCGCAGAUAUCAGGAGGAACACCGGUGGCGAAGGCGGGUCUCUGGGCCGGUACUGACGCUGAGGAGCGAAAGCCAGGGGAGCAAAAGGG
This 253-nucleotide ribosomal RNA is filed under the name uncultured bacterium. RNAcentral's name for it is "partial 16S ribosomal RNA". It matches the Rfam family "Bacterial small subunit ribosomal RNA", at positions 524 to 776 of the family's 1533-position model. The record is from RNAcentral.